UGGCCUACCAGACUGUUGUGUGAGUCUCU
This 29-nucleotide non-coding RNA is filed under the name Rattus norvegicus (Norway rat). Lineage: Eukaryota; Metazoa; Chordata; Mammalia; Rodentia; Muridae. The record is from RNAcentral.